CUGAUAUUUCCUGGCUUUUCGAAAG
This 25-nucleotide non-coding RNA is filed under the name Rattus norvegicus (Norway rat). The record is from RNAcentral. Lineage: Eukaryota; Metazoa; Chordata; Mammalia; Rodentia; Muridae.